This 1077-nucleotide ribosomal RNA is filed under the name Triticum aestivum (bread wheat). Its description in RNAcentral is "partial small subunit ribosomal RNA". The record is from RNAcentral. Lineage: Eukaryota; Viridiplantae; Streptophyta; Magnoliopsida; Poales; Poaceae.
AUGAUGCUAACUGCCUUGGAGUGGGAAGAUGGCCCAUCUUGUGCUCUUUUCUCGGAGGGGACCGAAGACUAUGAGUGGAUGAAUCAAAAAGUAGACAUACUAGUCAAGCAUGUGCAGACACCAAAUGCUUCUAGCUCUGAUGUGCAGAAUUCAAUCCCAUCAGUGCCAAACUUUGACAACACUCCUCAAGUUGAAAGGCCUAGCAACCUCCCAACCGCAACAUUUGACACAACUCCAAAGCUCCCUAGGGCAAACGACAUUCCGGGGCCUGUGUUUGAUGUGUCCCCCAUCUCAUUCAAAAACGCUUCCUCCGAUGGACCUCAAGUAGUAGUGGAUUUGCACGAGACAACCGAGGCGAAUGUUGCGGUCAGGGGUGAGUCCAACAGUCUUGGUAAACAGUCAAAGAAGAAAAGGGUGGCUGUCUCCCCAGACAAUGUGCCAACGAUGAAGAAGAUUAAGGUUGAUGCACACGGUGAUGCCUUACACCAUCACUAUGUAAUGACCAGAUACAAGACAAGAAAACCAAAGAAAAACGAGCUUUUUCCCAACUUCAUUGAAAGAGAUGGCUUCCAUACAUCUCUCGAGAAUUUUCAUGCAUCUCUAAAGCCAAGAGCGGAGAUUGACAAUGAGGUCAUGACCUUAUACCUGAAGACAUUCAACUAUGAUCAGUCAGUGAAGAAGAAGAAGCCAAAAAAAUUUGUUUUCUCAGUGUUGAUGAGUUUGAAACUCAGUGCUGAGCCAGAUGUGUUUGAUCCGAAGGUGUGCGAAAAAGAAUUUAAGAAUGCUUGCUUACAAAAUCACAUUUCAAAAUCUGACCUGCUAUUCUUCAUGGUUGUACACAAAAAGCACUGGGCAGUAGUUGUUGUUAACAUCACCCAAAAGGAGUUCAAUAUCUUUGACUCCAUUAGGAACUCGGAAGACCUUUUUGAGAUGGACAGGAUCACUAAGAAUGUGGUCGCAAACAUCAAGAGUGUUGCAAUGAGGGAGCCACUUUUUAAGCACAAUCUCGAGUCUUACUCGCUAUUCACCCCACUUGAUUACCCUCAACAAAAAACUUACUGCUUUUGCAUUUUAUAA